This 446-nucleotide ribosomal RNA is filed under the name uncultured bacterium. RNAcentral describes it as "partial 16S ribosomal RNA". It matches the Rfam family "Bacterial small subunit ribosomal RNA", at positions 329 to 792 of the family's 1533-position model. The record is from RNAcentral.
CCCCAGACUCCUACGGGAGGCAGCCGUGGGGAAUAUUGCACAAUGGGGGAACCCCUGAUGCAGCGCCUCCUCGUGAAGGCAGCAGAAUUUCGGUCUGUCCACUUCUAUCAUCCUGGAAGAAACUGCCGGUACCUGCCUCUUCAGCCCCGUCUCCCUACGUGCCCGCCGCCGCGGUAAUCCGUCGGUGGCAAUCUUUAUCCGGAUUUCCUGGGUGUAAAGGGCGUGUAGGCGGGAAUGCAAGUCAGAUGGGAAAACUAGGGGAGCAACUCAUAGCCUGCAUUUGAAACUGUAUUUCUUGAGUGAUGGAGAGGCAGGCGGAAUUCCGUGUGUAGCGGUGAAAUUCGUAGAGAGGAGGAGGAACACCAGUGGCGAAGGCGGCCUGCUGGACGAUGACUGACGUUGAGGCUCGAAAGCGUGGGGAGCAAACAGGAUUAGAUACCCUGGUA